Apis florea (little honeybee) is the source of this 2636-nucleotide RNA transcript. It is a transcript of the gene named dephosphocoenzyme A carrier, with no coding region annotated. The record is from RefSeq and is a predicted model, not a curated record. NCBI's taxonomy places the organism in Eukaryota, Metazoa, Arthropoda, Insecta, Hymenoptera, Apidae.
UCUGAAUAAACGUUGGCAUCGCCAUCUAGAAGGUAUAACCGAAUGUAUCGGAAGGUCAGACGUAAGAAUAUUGUUCCAUUCUUAAUUGACGAAAUCGAUAAACUUACAUAUAUGAGUUCGUAAUGUUAGUGUACAUUACAUAUAUAUUUAGUAAAAGUGAUAUUGUGAUGUAGCUACAGUUUUGGUAUCAGUUACGUAUAUAACAUCAUCGAAGUAACGUCUCGUGUAACAUUAUUAGACUUUUGUAUUACUUAUCUAUAAAAUAAUAUAAAGUAUUUUUAUUAGUAUUGAAUGUUCUAAAUACAUUCUUUACUUUUUCAAGAAUCAGAAUUUUCUUCACGGAUUGAUCAACUAUCUUACUAUACAGAAAAUUUUAUAAAUAUUCUAUGUAAAGAAGUCUGAUGAAAUGAAAGAAUUAUUUACACUAUAAGGAAAUGUAUUAAAGAAAUUUAUCCUAUUAAUAAUCAAGUAAUAUCAAAAGAAUACAAAUGUCUGUAUUAUCAAAUUCAACAAAACAAGUAUUACAAAAUACAUCAUCUCUUUCAAUGGAAAUACAAGAUGGUAAUACUACAAUGUGUAAUAAGAAGAAGCAAGAAAAAAAUAUUGGGAGCAAUGGUAUAUCUAAUGCACAAAGAGUAUGGACAAGUUUGUUAUCAGGUGCUAUUGCAGGAGCAUUGGCAAAAACGACAAUAGCACCUUUAGAUCGCACAAAGAUAAACUUUCAAAUUUCAAACAAACCAUUUUCGGCAAAAGCAGCAAUUAAAUUUUUAAUAAAAACUCUUAGAACAGAAGGUUUACUAAGUUUGUGGCGUGGAAACAGUGCUACUAUGGUUAGAAUAGUUCCAUAUUCUGCUGUUCAAUUCACAGCCCACGAGCAAUGGAAAAGAAUCUUAGGAGUAAAUGGAUCAGAAAGAGAAAAACCAGGAUUGAAUUUUCUUGCCGGUUCUUUAGCGGGUAUAACAUCGCAAGGUACAACUUAUCCCCUGGACUUGAUGAGAGCAAGAAUGGCUGUGACACAAAAGACUAAAUACAAAACCUUACGACAAAUAUUUGUACGCAUUUACAUGGAAGAAGGAAUAGCGGCUUAUUAUCGUGGAUUUACUGCAACGCUACUUGGUGUCAUUCCUUAUGCUGGUUGCAGUUUCUUCACCUAUGAUCUACUCAGGAAUUUAUUGACUGCAGGGUACCCGUGGGGCACAUCGGGGCUGUUUCCCGAUAUUGGGACAAUACUUACUUUAAUAGCGACGCUUGUCGAGACAAGUCCGAUGGCUGUGUUUUUCAAGUACGUGCUUCAUGUUCGAUGAUGGCUACGUGUCGAUGAACAGUGUACACGGUGGCUAUUCCUGGCUUCUCGACAUCACUGAUUUGCGGCGCCAUUGCCGGAAUGGUUGCUCAGACUAGCAGCUACCCUUUGGACAUUAUUCGGAGAAGGAUGCAGACUUCGGCGAUGCAUGGUCAACACUAUCACACGAUCAGAUCAACUAUCACAAAAAUUUACAAAGAAGAAGGUAUAAUGGCCUUUUAUAAAGGACUAAGUAUGAACUGGAUAAAAGGUCCAAUUGCUGUAGGAAUUAGUUUUGCAACACAUGAUACGAUCCGCGAUACAUUAAGAAAAAUUAUUAUUUGCCAAAAUACUUCAUUAAAAACAUAAAAAUGAUAUAUGCAAUUAGAAAAACUAAUAAGAAACGUCUAAUUAUCUAUUAACAUAAGGCAUCUAAUUAAAAAAGCAGUAAAUAUAUUUUCAUCUGCUAAAAAGUCCUUUGAAAUAUAGAAUGUUUGAUAAAAAUUGCAUACAAACUUUAUCAUUGUUCUGCUACUAAUAAUAGUUAUAUACUAGCAAAAUUUGUACAAAAAUCUAUCAAAUACUCAGACAUCAAUAUAUAUAAAAUUUAUGAUCAUAAUUAAUAGAUUCAUGUAAUGUAGUAAUGAUUUAAUAAAUAUUAUAGUUUUCAAAGGACAUAUUUUUAAAAGAAUAGAAAAUAGUACAAAUUGUUGAUGUACAUAUUGUUAAUCAAAAUGUUAUAAAAAUUGUUAAAUUACUAAAAAAUGCAUGUCAUAUAAGUAUAUAAAUCACUAAAAAGCAAAACUAUAUUGCGCAAAUAUUAACAUUUAGUUUAUUUGUAAUGUGGAUAUUAUGCAUAACAAUGCAACUGCCCUCACAAAUUGUUUUUUAAUCAUUGAUAAACAAAAUAUAGAAAUAUUUUUUUCAUGAAUUUCAAUAAUCAUAAAAACAAUUUUAAAAAACUACAUAUACAUUUUCUCACAUUAAAUUACAGAUAUACAGAUAUAAUAUCUACAAUUAUUAAUGUGAUAGUAACAGAAUAGUAGUUGUUUUAUAUUAUUGACUAAAUAGUCAUUAAAUUUUGUAUAGAAUAACAGCAUUAUUUUAACAAUAAUAAUUAAGUUCUGACAAUAAUUUUAUAAAUAUAAAUGUGCAAUAUUAACAAUCAGCACAAUUAUUUAUACUGAAACAAAUUAUUAUAAAAAUUAUUCAUAUCUAAUUUUUUUUUAUAAAUGAUCUAUAAUUAUUUUAUAAGUUUAUAAUGGUCCAAAUUAUUUUAAUAUUGUAUACAUUUGAAUUAAUAUUUCAUAUACUGUAAAUUUUUAUUCAAAUAUAUUUUAAUUAGAAUAAAAUA